GUGUCAGCAGCCGCGGUAAGACGAACCGUGCGAACGUUAUUCGGAAUCACUGGGCUUAAAGCGCGUGUAGGCGGGUGGGAACGUCGGCCACUGAAAGCCCCCGGCUCAACCGGGGAAGGGGUGCCGAGACGGCCCGCCUGGAGGGGCGUAGGGGGACCUGGAACUUCCGGUGGAGCGGUGAAAUGCGUUGAGAUCGGAAGGAACGCCCGUGGCGAAAGCGAGGUCCUGGACGCCAUCUGACGCUGAGACGCGAAAGCCAGGGGAGCGAACGGGAUUAGAUACCCCUGUAGUCC
RNAcentral lists this ribosomal RNA (293 nucleotides) under uncultured bacterium. RNAcentral's name for it is "partial 16S ribosomal RNA". It matches the Rfam family "Bacterial small subunit ribosomal RNA", at positions 505 to 796 of the family's 1533-position model. The record is from RNAcentral.